GUCGAGGUGGUGAAACUGGGAAACACGAUAGGUUUAGAACCUAUUGCCGCAAGGCUUGCGGGUUCGACUCCCGCCCUCGACA
This 82-nucleotide transfer RNA is filed under the name Candidatus Wolfebacteria bacterium CG1_02_39_135. RNAcentral's name for it is "tRNA-Leu". It matches the Rfam family "tRNA". From Rfam's summary of the family: Transfer RNA (tRNA) molecules are approximately 80 nucleotides in length. Their secondary structure includes four short double-helical elements and three loops (D, anti-codon, and T loops). The record is from RNAcentral. RNAcentral also lists the same sequence under 6 other names. Lineage: Bacteria; Candidatus Wolfeibacteriota.